UACGAAGGGGGCUAGCGUUGCUCGGAAUCACUGGGCGUAAAGGGUGCGUAGGCGGGUUUUUAAGUCAGAGGUGAAAUCCUGGAGCUCAACUCCAGAACUGCCUUUGAUACUGAAAGUCUUGAGUAUGGGAGAGGUGAGUGGGACUGCGAGUGUAGAGGUGAAAUUCGUAGAUAUUCGCAAGAACACCAGUGGCGAAGGCGGCUCACUGGCCCAUAACCGACGCUGAGGCACGAAAGCGUGGGGAGCAAACAGG
This 253-nucleotide ribosomal RNA is filed under the name uncultured bacterium. RNAcentral's name for it is "partial 16S ribosomal RNA". It matches the Rfam family "Bacterial small subunit ribosomal RNA", at positions 524 to 776 of the family's 1533-position model. The record is from RNAcentral.